AGGCAGAUGCUAAUACCAAUAGUCUUCAGUAGGAAGAGGUCACUCAUUUCUUCUCAUGCAAGUAAAAUAGGGUAGGGUAAUAAAGUGACCAAACUAUACACACGUGCAUGCACCCACAUAUGCAUAUUAUAUAUAUAUUUAUAUAUUUAAGCUGAAUUGCAGAAUGACUGUGGUUGGGAGGCACCUCUGGAGAUCAUCUAUUCCAACCCCUGCAUUUAUAACUGUGUAUGCUUAAUUUCCUGAAAUACCUGCAUGUUUAAGGCCCCUGCCUCAGACUGUUGUAGUUUGCUGCCCUGACUCCAUUACAACUGUCUUUGGUUGAGCUUCUGCCCAGGAUGCAAAUGACUGAAGCUGCUGCCAUUCCUCCAGACAUGAACGCACUCUGUCUGUAGAUAUGAAACAGCUGUUAAUGUCAAUAAUUCAGAGAGAGUGGAGUUGGCAUCCUGCAUUUCUCUUGUCAGCUGGAAUGAUGAUUGAACAUAACUGGCCACUUCAAAUUAAGUUAUCCAUUUGCACAAUGUAUUAUGCCUGACUGAUCCAUUUCCCCUGCUAUUGAGUGGUAGAUUGUGGAUUAGUACCUCGAGCCAACGCCAGUCUGCAUGGGAACGUAAUAGGAUCUUGUAUCGUUUUUAAUGGUGAGUUAUGGGCUGUCACACAGAAUAUCUGGACACACUUAAUAACUUUCUGACGACAACUGUAACAGACAUAAUGGUAAGUAUGUGUUGUCACUGAGCUGCUGGAGAGGCAGGCUCCUGCUUGCCAGGUGCUAUUACACUGGACUGAAUUACCUUUGUAGAUACUUCUGUAGUUACAAACUUUUUCCUAGCUCCAGUAGUGCUUAAAUAAAAAAUUGAUCCCAUGGAAUUAUAUUGCUGAAUAUUAAAGUCGGUAUUUAUUUGCAAGAGUCACUUUGGGGUGCCUAAUUUGUCCGCGAGAGCAAGGUUUUUUGCUCAGGCUGCAAAAUGGUGCAAUAAAAAUCAGUGAUUGAUGUUUAUUAUCAGAUUAAAUGGUUUAGCUGUGGGGAUCAAAGUUAUAAAUUACAGCACUCCCCAAGCUGUGAUUGGCCACUAGAGAUCUUUCUAAGUGCCAGCGUUUUUUAAUGAGAUCAUAUAUUUUCAAGCCUCUAACAGUAUCAACUUUUGUAGUUUAUUGAAACUGUGUUUAAAAUAACAGCUUACGGGGUGUCAAAAAUAUUGGAUGUGUUUUGUAUUUGCUUGGUCCAACAUCCUGGGGGGAAAAGCCAUGGCUUUGAAAAUGGUGGUUUUGAUAACCCAGCGAACAUUGCAGUUCAGUCUGGGGACCUAAAGGAGCAUGAGGGCUGUAGCAUUUACUUUGUUUGGGUUUUGGUCAUUUCAUUUAGAACUUGGGGCUGAAUCUGCUCUGGGUC
This 1387-nucleotide long non-coding RNA is filed under the name Anas zonorhyncha (Eastern spot-billed duck). RNAcentral's name for it is "lncRNA (ENSAZOG00000008591.1)". The record is from RNAcentral. Lineage: Eukaryota; Metazoa; Chordata; Aves; Anseriformes; Anatidae.